Molecule: ribosomal RNA, 548 nt
Filed under: uncultured bacterium
Lineage: Bacteria
Description: bacterial SSU rRNA
Rfam family: Bacterial small subunit ribosomal RNA
Source: RNAcentral
UAGGGAAUCUUCGGCAAUGGACGGAAGUCUGACCGAGCAACGCCGCGUGAGUGAAGAAGGUUUUCGGAUCGUAAAGCUCUGUUGUAAGAGAAGAACGAGUGUGAGAGUGGAAAGUUCACACUGUGACGGUAUCUUACCAGAAAGGGACGGCUAACUACGUGCCAGCAGCCGCGGUAAUACGUAGGUCCCGAGCGUUGUCCGGAUUUAUUGGGCGUAAAGCGAGCGCAGGCGGUUAGAUAAGUCUGAAGUUAAAGGCUGUGGCUUAACCAUAGUACGCUUUGGAAACUGUUUAACUUGAGUGCAAGAGGGGAGAGUGGAAUUCCAUGUGCAGCGGUGAAAUGCGUAGAUAUAUGGAGGAACACCGGUGGCGAAAGCGGCUCUCUGGCUUGUAACUGACGCUGAGGCUCGAAAGCGUGGGGAGCAAACAGGAUUAGAUACCCUGGUAGUCCACGCCGUAACGAUGAGUGCUAGGUGUUAGACCCUUUCCGGGGUUUAGUGCCGCAGCUAACGCAUUAAGCACUCCGCCUGGGGAGUACGACCGCAAGGUU